Molecule: non-coding RNA, 129 nt
Filed under: Pelotomaculum thermopropionicum
Lineage: Bacteria; Bacillati; Bacillota; Clostridia; Eubacteriales; Desulfotomaculaceae
Also listed under: 1 other name
Description: FMN sequence
Rfam family: FMN riboswitch aptamer (RFN element)
About the family: The RFN element is a highly conserved domain that is found frequently in the 5'-untranslated regions of prokaryotic mRNAs that encode for flavin mononucleotide (FMN) biosynthesis and transport proteins.
Source: RNAcentral
GAGGACCUUCGGGGACAGGUGAAAUUCCGUACCGGCGGUAAGGUUGUUUGCCGAGCCCGCGAGCCCUUUUGGGUUGAUCCGGUGAAAAGCCGGGGCCGACAGUAAAAGUCUGGAUGGGAGAAGGGAAAG